RNAcentral lists this transfer RNA (73 nucleotides) under Nothobranchius furzeri (turquoise killifish). RNAcentral's name for it is "tRNA-Thr (TGT) (tRNA-Thr-TGT-4-1)". It matches the Rfam family "tRNA". From Rfam's summary of the family: Transfer RNA (tRNA) molecules are approximately 80 nucleotides in length. Their secondary structure includes four short double-helical elements and three loops (D, anti-codon, and T loops). The record is from Rfam by way of RNAcentral. Lineage: Eukaryota; Metazoa; Chordata; Actinopteri; Cyprinodontiformes; Nothobranchiidae.
GGCUCCAUAGCUCAGUGGCUAGAGCACUGGUCUUGUAAACCAGGGGUCACGAGUUCGAACCUCGUUGGGGCCU